Molecule: long non-coding RNA, 3458 nt
Filed under: Sparus aurata (gilthead seabream)
Lineage: Eukaryota; Metazoa; Chordata; Actinopteri; Spariformes; Sparidae
Description: lncRNA (ENSSAUG00010016156.1)
Source: RNAcentral
UCACAUACCUCUAAAUUCACCCAACUGCGUAGAAGCAAAAUCUGGGUGGCCGCCGUCAAGUACCGCCGUUCGUCUUCAUUCAAAGAUGUACCGUUGGUUUGGGAGGUCUCGCGAGAUCUCGCACAGUGUCCCUUCCCGGGCACCGUACAAUCCCGCCACUGAAUGUAUAGAUACCGGAAGCUUGCGAGCGGUAAAACUGGUUACGGCGUGUUUAGGUUAUAGCAUGGAUGCUGAGGACAUUUGCGUGAGAUAGCGUUGCUUGCCCAGUCUAGUUGACUAACGUUAGCUACGUUACAAGACAGUUACAGUAAUAGCUAUGUCGAAAAGAAAACACAACGUUACUCUCAACACGAAAGAAAAAGAUUGGUUGAGAGAAAACGUUCCAAGACGUACUUUGACAAGAUGGAAAAAAAGGAAAAUCAACAGAACUUUGACUGACAUUGAAAAACACACUGCUCAACGACAUGAAAUUGAUGAAGGUGCCAGCCAAAGCGAAGAGCAGAGAGCAGAGCCUUUCACAUUAACACAGGAAAUUGAUGAAGAUGCCAGCCAAAGCGAAGAGCAGAGAGCAGAGCCUUUCACAUCAACACAGGAAAUUGAUGAGGAUGCCAGCCAAAGCGAAGAGCAGAGAGCAGAGCCUUUCACAUUAACACAGGAAAUUGAUGAGGAUGCCAGCCAAAGCGAAGAGCAGAGAGCAGAGCCUUUCACAUCAACACAGGAAAUUGAUGAAGAUCCCAGCCAAAGCGAAGAGCAGAGAGCAGAGCCUUUCACAUCAACACAGGACAAUGUACCUCAAGCAAUAGAUGAUGUCCACACCCAAGGACUAACGGAAGAGCAAAGUUGCAUCUCGAUUCUCUCCUUUGCAUUGAGACACAACACUACAGGUGUAUUGAUGGAAGACCUGCUGAAACUUUUAAAGUUACAUUCUGCUGGGACAAGUGCAAUUCCAGCAAGCAAGUAUUUUUUGGGGAAACCAUUAGCUGGUAUUGUAGAUCAAUUUGAACACCAUCAUUACUGCAGCGUAUGUACUAAGUACCUUGGCACUUCACAGUCACAAGAAGAAACACUUACAUGCGUGUCAUGUUCCUCAUCCAUAACAGUAAAAGCCAGUUUACACGAAGGACAUUUCUUUAUCAGUAUUCCAUUAAAGGGCCAACUGAAAGAUAUUCUUGAGAAUCAGGGUAUGCAUGAUCUCUGUUUUCCUGCUGAUGACAGUAGUAGAGAAGUAAUAAAUGAUAUAUGUGAUGGCACCUUAUAUCAGGCCUUGCAGUCAAACAGUGAAGUGGAUUUCCUUUCCCUUACAUUUAAUUGUGAUGGUGUACCAGUCUUUCAGUCCUCUAAAUUUAGUAUUUGGCCAAUACUGUGUUGUGUUAAUGAGAUACCCCCUCAGUGCAGAGAUAAGCAUGUACUUUUAUGUGCUUUGUGGUUCGGUUCCAAAAAGCCAGACAUGACCUGUUUCUUCAAACCAUUUGUGGAGGAAUGUGCCAAUCUUUCAAAAACUGGUUUUAAGUGGCAUCAUCCUAUUGAUCAGUCAUGGAGAAAUGUGAAGGUGCACCCAUUGUGCUGUGUGUGUGAUGCAGUAGCAAGGCCUUUACUACAGAAUUUUAAGCAAUUUAAUGGUGAAUAUGGCUGUGGAGUCUGCCUUCACCCUGGGGUGCAAAUGAGGAAAGGACAAGGAAACUCAAGAGUUUACACAUGUUCAGCUGAAAAACCAAGUGACAGAAAUCACAAAACCACAGUAGAAAUAGGACAAAUUGCUGAAAGAGAAGGGAAGACUAUAUUGGGCAUAAAGGGCCCAUCUGCUAUUGUAGAUUUAGCAAAGUUUGAUCUAAUCAAUGGGAUGGUCCCUGACUAUAUGCACUGUGUGUUGCUUGGCGUGUGUAGACAAAUGGCGACUUUAUGGAUCGAUUCUAAGAGCUAUUCUGAGCCAUGGUACAUUGGCACACAAACAGCAAUCAUGGACAGACACCUCUUGUCUAUAAAACCACCAGGUAUUGUUGCUCGAGUUCCAAGAUCUCUCACUGAACGCAAGUUCUGGAAAGCCCACGAGUGGCAACACUGGCUUCUGUAUUAUAGCUUGCCAGUUCUGAAAGGCAUACUUCCACAGAAGUAUCACUCUCAUUGGGCGUUACUGAUAGAGGGCAUAAGCAUUCUGUUGGGAUCUGAAUUAAGUACAGAGCAGAUAAAUCACGCCCAUGACGCAUUAGUGUACUUUGUUGGAGGUGUGCAAGCGCUGUAUGGGGAAGAGCACAUGACAUUCAAUGUUCAUUCACUUCUGCAUUUAAGCCAAAGUGUUGUGCAUUGGGGUCCAUUGUGGGCCCACUCAGCCUUUAUGUUUGAAGCUUUCAAUGGAUACCUACUGAAACAAGUAAAAAGUAGUCAAGCUGUACCACAACAAAUAUGCAAACGAGUGAUGUUGUCCCGUGCUUUUCCCCGUUUAGCAAAACAAUUCCUAACAAAUGCACCAGCAGAGGUUAAAGAUUUCUGUAAUGAAAUGAGAACCGAAAAGCAUCAUGUCAAGAAGUUUGCAAAGUUUGCUGAGGUGACUGCCCUUGGUCCACCAAAUGUAAGAUUAAUAUCUGUUGGUGAUCAAGCUGCCCUCCACACAGUGAAACAGGUUCCCACAAACUAUGUGGUGAAUUACUACAAGAGAAUUGCUGUAAAUGCAGAAGUUGUACAUGGUCAUACCUACAGCAAAACAAAACAAAGAAACAACUCUAUUGUGCUUUUGAAGGAUGGGAGUAUUUUUAGAGUCUCCCACUUUAUUGACAUUGGUGAUCAGUGUUUAUAUGCCAUAGGGAACUAUGGUAAAUGCACAGUGCAGAAGUUAGCCAGAGGUUCUCUUAUCAAAACUCCACUGAGCUACAUGUCAACGGUGCACUUUCCCACAGGCUUUCACAAAGCCAUAAACACUACUCAGGUAGUUGGACCAUGUAUGUAUAUUCAGUGUCCACAAUCCAGCUCGUUUGUGUGUCGGCUGCUGAAGACAUAUUAUUGUAAAUGAAUGAUUGUGAACUAAAUGUGAAGAUGGUCACCUAUUAAUUUAGGGUCGCUGAGCUGGAAAGUAACUAAUUGCUAUUACUGUUACUGUAAUUGAGUGUAAUUGUACUGUGACUGAACUGUACGUUCUUUAACUUUAAGGUGAGAAACACAAAUCUAUUACCAAUGUAACUAUGAUGAAAUGGCAUAUAUCAGAAUGACAAAUACAUUUAUUCUUCUUUGAUACCUUUGCAAUGCAUGUCAUCAACUUGUAUGUAUUUCAAUGUAACGUCCAAAAAGAGACAAGUGCAAAACAACUUAAAGUUGCAUCUUAAUCAACUUGGGUCAGUUGGGUCAUGUAAAAAGAAAAAAAAUCCAUUGCCACUUUUCUGAAUUUUAAGUAAAUAUGCAACUUGUGUAAUGUCAUUUGCUAAUUUUGUGAAAAAUUAAAAUCUUUCUACAGCAAGAAAGGAGGGAGU